RNAcentral lists this ribosomal RNA (523 nucleotides) under uncultured bacterium. RNAcentral's name for it is "bacterial SSU rRNA". It matches the Rfam family "Bacterial small subunit ribosomal RNA", at positions 1 to 524 of the family's 1533-position model. The record is from RNAcentral.
UGAGUUUGAUCAUGGCUCAGGACGAACGCUGGCGGCGUGCUUAAUACAUGCAAGUCGAGCGAGGUUACUGUUUUGGAACCCUUCGGGGUGAAGAAGCUUUAACCUAGCGGCGGACGGGUGAGUAACGCGUGGGUAACCUACCCCAAAGUCCGGGAUAACAGCGGGAAACCGCUGCUAAUACCGGAUGUCUUUACCUUGGGGCAUCUUGAGGUAAAGAAAGGCAACGCUUUGGGAUGGGCCCGCGUCCCAUUAGCUAGUUGGUGAGGUAACGGCUCACCAAGGCGACGAUGGGUAGCCGGCCUGAGAGGGUGGACGGCCACACUGGGACUGAGACACGGCCCAGACUCCUACGGGAGGCAGCAGUAGGGAAUAUUGCGCAAUGGACGGAAGUCUGACGCAGCGACGCUGCGUGAGCGAUGAAGGUCUUCGGAUCGUAAAGCUCUGUCCUUGGGGAAGAAGGCGAAAGCUUGACGGUACCCAAGAAGAAAGCCCCGGCUAACUACGUGCCAGCAGCCGCGGUAAU